GGGGCUAUAGCACAGUUGGUAGCGCGCUACAUUCGCAUUGUAGAGGCCACGGGUUCGACUCCCGUUAGCUCCACCA
RNAcentral lists this transfer RNA (76 nucleotides) under Clostridiales bacterium. RNAcentral's name for it is "tRNA-Ala". It matches the Rfam family "tRNA". From Rfam's summary of the family: Transfer RNA (tRNA) molecules are approximately 80 nucleotides in length. Their secondary structure includes four short double-helical elements and three loops (D, anti-codon, and T loops). Lineage: Bacteria; Bacillati; Bacillota; Clostridia; Eubacteriales. The record is from RNAcentral. RNAcentral also lists the same sequence under 1 other name.